Dermacentor andersoni is the source of this 309-nucleotide long non-coding RNA. RefSeq lists it as uncharacterized. The record is from RefSeq and is a predicted model, not a curated record. Lineage: Eukaryota; Metazoa; Arthropoda; Arachnida; Ixodida; Ixodidae.
GAUUAGCAGAAGGGUGGGAGUGUUGGGGCAAGCCCAUGUGGUGUCAUACAGCGAGGCAUACUCUCCACAGUCCGGACACUUGUGGCAGUACAAGAAAUUCACACACCCGGUUCUGACACUACAGAAUGAAGCUCCCGCUUUACCGAGCAUUUUUUUUCAUCACAUGGGCGCACUUCGCCUCUUGCACAACACCGUGCAAGGAUUCCUGCAUACGAGAAUGGUGCCCAGCGCAUAGGGAUCCAGCAACCAACGAAGCAAUUAGUGAUGCCGGUGUUGAUCCAGAGAUUGUGUUGAUUUUGGAGGAGCGAA